Dermochelys coriacea (leatherback sea turtle) is the source of this 72-nucleotide non-coding RNA. The record is from the annotation of a RefSeq genome assembly. NCBI's taxonomy places the organism in Eukaryota, Metazoa, Chordata, Testudines, Dermochelyidae.
GGGGGUAUAGCUCCGUGGUAGAGCAUUUGACUGCAGAUCGAAUGGCCCCUGGUUCAAAUUCAGGUGCCCCCU